Molecule: ribosomal RNA, 497 nt
Filed under: uncultured bacterium
Lineage: Bacteria
Description: partial 16S ribosomal RNA
Rfam family: Bacterial small subunit ribosomal RNA
Source: RNAcentral
GAUGAACGCUGGCGGCGUGCCUAAUACAUGCAAGUCGAACGAACAGACGAGGAGCUUGCUCCUCUGACGUUAGCCGCGGGCGGGUGAGUAACACGUGGAUAACCUACCUAUAAGACUGGGAUAACUUCGGAAAACCGGCGCUAAUACCGGAUAAUAUAUUGCACCGCAUGGUUCAAUAGUAAAAGUCGGUUUUGCUGUCUCUUAUCGCUGGAUCCGGGCCGCAUUAGCUGGUUGGUAAGGUAAUGGCUUACCAAGGCGACUAUGCGUAGCCGAGCUGUUAGGCGGAUAGGCGACAUUGGAGGGGAGCCAGCGACCAGAGUCCUACGGGAGGCAGCAGUCGGGAAUCGUACGCAACGGGCGAAAGCCUUGCGGAGCAGCGCCGAGUGAGUGAUGACGGCCUCCGGAUCGUAAAGCCCUGUUACGAGGGAAGAACAGAUUUGUAAGUAACCAUGGCCGUCUUGACGGUACUUAAUAAGAAAGCCCCGGCUAACUACGUG